RNAcentral lists this non-coding RNA (169 nucleotides) under bovine gut metagenome. RNAcentral's name for it is "Lysine riboswitch". It matches the Rfam family "Lysine riboswitch aptamer". From Rfam's summary of the family: Riboswitches are metabolite binding domains within certain messenger RNAs that serve as precision sensors for their corresponding targets. Allosteric rearrangement of mRNA structure is mediated by ligand binding, and this results in modulation of gene expression. This family includes riboswitches that sense lysine in a number of genes involved in lysine metabolism, including lysC. The record is from RNAcentral.
GAUAGAGGUGCGGUAACGGCGUGUAGACAAGAGGAGGCGGCCAACGCUGAAGAAACUUGUGGAAGAGCCUUGCCGCCGAAAAGCGAAGCGUGGCGGUUUCGGCUUUGGGGAUACGCUCAAGGAGUGUAUGACUGUCAUCAUAAAAAGUCUAUGGUGGUGCGCUAUCGUG